Molecule: long non-coding RNA, 2583 nt
Filed under: Solanum lycopersicum (tomato)
Lineage: Eukaryota; Viridiplantae; Streptophyta; Magnoliopsida; Solanales; Solanaceae
Description: long non-coding RNA (SLYC_LNC000830)
Rfam family: U1 spliceosomal RNA (bases 1143-1303)
Source: RNAcentral
CUGGACGGGGUCAAUGGGCGAUCAAUAAGACCCAUGGCCUAGGCUUGUGACCUUCAUUGCACUUUGGAGGGGUGCCUGCCUAAGGUCGGCCCAAGUGGUCGAGCCUACGUCAUAAUUUGUUGCUGUGGGGGCCUGCGUUCGCGCGGCCCCUGCCCAAUACUAAGAUCUAAAUUUGUUUGGUCAUAUAUUAAGCACGGCUCUAUAAUUGGGCUCCAAAAUAUAUUAAAUUGUUAUAUUAUAUAUUAAGUGUGAAUAAAAAAAUAUAGAAAGAUAAAUUUAGUUUGAAUAUGUCAUAAUACAUUCAUAAAGAAAAAAAUUGGUUAAACAAAAUAAAAUGCUAAUAAGAAUUGCUCAUGUUAUAAAGUGAGUGAAAAUGUUAUGAAAAGUUGUUCAUAUAUGAAUUUAUUUCAACUGUUCUCAAUAUAGCUGUUGUUUCUAUACUUGAUUUUGAUGCUUCCUGUAUGUAUUUUGUUCUUUGUUGGAUUCUGGAUAUGAGCUUGUGUAUUACCGUGUUUGAUGUCAUUAUCCAUCACAGAACUCGGCCUUUGUCAGUGGUCUUCUAAUGUGACAUAAUGCUGUUUUGUUCUCGAUGAUAACUCCUGUCUGUGAUGUCGUAAGACACUUAUUUUGCUUGUAUCCGUAUAUGGCUAUACAGAUAACACUCCUGUUAGCUGCUACUGUAUAUACAUUUUCACGUAAGCUUAUAGACUCUUGUUGAAGACGCAGAAUAAGGUUCUGAACAAAAUGAACCUGACAUAAGUCCGAAGAAGUUGAAAACCAACAUGACCUGAGGAAGCUGGUGAUGCUGCAGCGAUGCUAUAUAAGAAAUGUGUGUGUAUUAUUAUAUAUGUUAUCGAUAAUUCAUCCUUUCUUAGAGAAGUUGCCUUGUUUAAUCAAGACAACAACUCUUCAGUUGAUUGAGCCAUAUCCAUUUUCUUUGGAUAAUGUAAUACAAGAACAGAAAGAUUCUGAAGGAAAUCGCGCUGCUGUUAACAGUUGCCAUUUUGUUGGCUUGUUGCUCUAUAUGUUACUGAUUACUCGGAGAGUAACACCGUUUUCGACUAAUUCUCCCACAUCAGCAUCUGAGAGAGAAGUGGAGUAAAGACAGUAGUAUUAGUAAUGAGCUGAGCAGGCUGGAAAACUUACUUACCUGGACGGGGUCAAUGGGCGAUCAAUAAGACCUAUGGCCUAGGCUUGUGACCUCCAUUGCACUUUGGAGGGGUGCCUGCCUAAGGUCGGCCCAAGUGGUCGAGCCUACGUCAUAAUUUGUUGCUAUGGGGGCCUGCGUUCGCGCAGCCCCUGCCCAAAUCUACGCCCAAAAAUUUCUCUGGCCCAUCUGAAUUUUACAAAAACAUAUGUUUUCUCUGCCCCAUCUGUUUGAUAUAAGAUUAUUUCGACUACAUUAUCAAACACAACGAUAAGUGAUGUCUAUAUGACUAACAAUCUAAAAGUGCCAUAAGUCAAAGAAGGCGCGAUAAUGAGUCUUGGCUUCAAAGAUCAAAUAUUUGUCUUGAAAAUACAAACCAGCUACAGUACUAUUACAUUGGGCCUGAUCUUAUGGGUAGCGAAUACCUUUAGCAGAUGCAGGAGCUUGUGGAUGAUUCCAAGAGUUUGUGCUGCAUAUUCUUAAGUUUGGCAAAGGCCAUUAGUCUAAAAACUAAUACCUGUUUGAAGGACUAGUUACAGAUUGCUAAGUUCUAGAUGACUUACUUCUACAGAAAUUGGUUUACUAGAACAAUUGUUUAUAUGGCAUUGGUGAGAGUUGCUUUGGCUGAUCGAUACAAAACGAAGAUCUGCUGAAACAGAUAAGGGUAUAGCUGGUUUGCUUAUGGUCCUUUGGUUUGUAAGAUCAAUGGCUAUACAGUUAACAUUUUCAUGUAAGACUGAAGAAGUUGAAAACUAACAUGACCUGAGGAAGCUGGUGAUGCUGCAGCGAUGCUAUAUAAGAAAUGUGUGUGUAUUAUAUACGUUGUCCAAAAUUCAUCCUUUCAUAGAGAACUUGACUUGUUUAAUUAAGACAACACUCUUCAGUUGAUUGAGCCAUAUCAUCCAUUUAUAACUCAAAAUCUGAUUUUAUUAAUGUCUCUUGAAUGCUCUCUUUGAGUAUAGACUUCAGUUUUUUCCUCCAUUUCUUUUGAUGAUUGCCAUGUUACCAGAGACUAACUUUUUGUUAUCUAUGCCGGGGAGAAUGUCAGCGUGUUGCUACUUAGUUUAGCGAUGUUGUAUAUGUUACUGAUUACUCGGAGAUUAACGCCAUUUUGGACUAAUUCUCCCACAUCAGUAUCUGAGAGAGAGAAGUGGAGCAAAAGCAGUAGUAUUAAUAAUGGGCUGAGCUCACUGGAUUACAUACUUACCUGGACGGGGUCAAUGGGCGAUCAAUAAGACCUAUGGCCUAGGCUUGUGACCUUCAUUGCACUUUGGAGGGGUGCCUGCCUAAGGUCGGCCCAAGUGGUCGAGCCUACGUCACAAUUUGUUGCUGCGGGAGCCUGCGUUCGCGCGGCCCCUACCCAAACCUAAGUAAAAAUGUUCAUCUCUUUAGUUGAUUGAGUAGAGUAAUGCAUAUCUUAUUUAUUUAAAAUACCU